CUAAUACAUGCAAGUCGAGCGCGGGAAGCAGACAGAAGCCUUCGGGCGGACGUCUGUGGAACGAGCGGCGGAUGGGUGAGUAACACGUGGGUAACCUGCCUGUAAGCCUGGGAUAACUCGCGGAAACGCGAGCUAAUACCGGAUGACACGAAAGUUCGCAUGAACUUUUGUUGAAAGGCGGCUUUUAGCUGUCACUUACAGAUGGGCCCGCGGCGCAUUAGCUAGUUGGUGAGGUAACGGCUUACCAAGGCGACGAUGCGUAGCCGACCUGAGAGGGUGAUCGGCCACACUGGGACUGAGACACGGCCCAGACUCCUACGGGAGGCAGCAGUAGGGAAUCUUCCGCAAUGGACGAAAGUCUGACGGAGCAACGCCGCGUGAGUGAUGAAGGUCUUCGGAUCGUAAAACUCUGUUGUUAGGGAAGAACAAGUAUAAGGCGAAUAACCUUAUACCUUGACGGUACCUAACCAGAAAGCCCCGGCUAACUACGUGCCAGCAGCCGCGGUAAUACGUAGGGGGCGAGCGUUGUCCGGAAUUAUUGGGCGUAAAGGGUGCGUAGGCGGUCUCUUAAGUCUGAUGUGAAAGCCCACGGCUUAACCGUGGAGGGUCAUUGGAAACUGGGAGACUUGAGUGCAGAAGAGGAGAGUGGAAUUCCAUGUGUAGCGGUGAAAUGCGUAGAGAUAUGGAGGAACACCAGUGGCGAAGGCGA
Molecule: ribosomal RNA, 709 nt
Filed under: uncultured bacterium
Lineage: Bacteria
Description: bacterial SSU rRNA
Rfam family: Bacterial small subunit ribosomal RNA
Source: RNAcentral